GGGGGCAACCCCUCGAGAGUGGCGAACGGGUGAGUAAUAUAUCGGAGCGUGCCCAGUCGUGGGGGAUAACGUAGCGAAAGUUACGCUAAUACCGCAUACGAUCUACGGAUGAAAGCGGGGGAUCGCAAGACCUCGCGCGAUUGGAGCGGCCGAUAUCAGAUUAGGUAGUUGGUGGGGUAAAGGCUCACCAAGCCAACGAUCUGUAGCUGGUCUGAGAGGACGACCAGCCACACUGGAACUGAGACACGGUCCAGACUCCUACGGGAGGCAGCAGUGGGGAAUUUUGGACAAUGGACGCAAGUCUGAUCCAGCCAUUCCGCGUGCAGGAUGAAGGCCCUCGGGUUGUAAACUGCUUUUGUACGGAACGAAAAGGUUUCUAUUAAUACUAGGAGCUCAUGACGGUACCGUAAGAAUAAGCACUGGCUAAUUACGUGCCAGCAGCCGCGGUAAUACGUAGGGUGCAAGCGUUAAUCGGAAUUACUGGGCGUAAAGCGUGCGCAGGCGGUUAUGUAAGACAGAGGUGAAAUCCCCGGGCUCAACCUGGGAACUGCCUUUGUGACUGCAUAGCUAGAGUACGGUAGAGGGGGAUGGAAUUCCGCGUGUAGCAGUGAAAUGCGUAGGUAUGCGGAGGAACACCGAUGGCGAAGGCAAUCCCCUGNACCUGUACUGACGCUCAUGCACGAAAGCGUGGGGGAGCAAACAGGAUUAGAUACCCUGNUAGUCCACGCCCUAAACGAUGUCAACUGGNUUGUUGGGUCUUCACUGACUCAGUAACGAAGCUAACGCGUGAAGUUGACCGCCUGGGGAGUANGNCCGCANGGUUGAAACUCAAAGGAAUUGACGGGG
This 846-nucleotide ribosomal RNA is filed under the name uncultured bacterium. Its description in RNAcentral is "bacterial SSU rRNA". It matches the Rfam family "Bacterial small subunit ribosomal RNA", at positions 75 to 918 of the family's 1533-position model. The record is from RNAcentral.